AGAAUGUGCCUGUCUUUGAAUUUGUCCAUGCAGUCUGAAAAAUGUUUUCUUUUCUUCUUUGGUGUAAAAGAAUUUUCAUUUCGAGGGGUCCCAAUUUUGUAUUUAUAUAUUCUUUCUUUUGCAUUCUUCCCUUGUUUGCAAGCUCGUCAGCCAUCUCAUUCCCAUCUAUUCCGCAAUGUGAUGGUAUCCAAAUAAUGGUAACCCUUUUUCCAUUAGUUAAUAAUUGUUCAUGUAAUUCAAUUAUGUCCUGGAGAAUGUCAAAUCUAGCUUGAUUUCUGUGAGGUUCCCCAAGUGAUUGGGCUGCCGAGAGAGAUUCAUUGAGUAUAAGAAUAUCCCUGUCCAAUUCUGUACUGCACGCCUGUUUCACUGCUCCCUGUAUCGCUAUCAGUUCAUGUCAGCAGUAAGAAUAGAAGUAUAAUCUGUUAUUCGUGAAUACGACCGGAUAUUUUGUUUUUUUAACAUAGAAUCCUGAUCCAGUACGUUCAUCCUCCUUGGAUCCAUCAGUGAAAUACUGGAUAUGAUUACUAUAUAAGUCAUGAAUAUGUUUUAAUGUAAUAUUUUUCAUUGAUGCGUAUUUGUCUUCUCUCUUUUUUGUUUUGUUCUUUAGUGUUAGGUCCACAUUAAUGUCACAAUAUUUCCAUAUAAGAGUAUUUCUUGUUUCAGUGUGGCGGACAUUUUUUUUUUUUACUUUCAAAGUUCCCAUAAUUGCUUUUGUGCUUUCUACAAUGCCGUUUUUAGUUUUGAGAUGUUUGUUUGCGAUCUUGAUUAUUCUGUCUCUGUAGACAUUCUUAGCAUUGUUUUCUUUAUUAUAAUUUACUCUAUGCCAUAGUUUGACCUUGCUUUCCUGCCUUCUUAUCCAAAGAGGGGGGGCUUUUGGUCAGGACUGAUAAAGCCAUGCGGCUUGCAGCGUGUGUAGAAUUGGUGAUUAUUCUCAAUGCUGAAUUUUGAAUUAUGUCCAGUUUCUUUAGUUGACCUUUUGCUCCCUGGUCGUAUAUUUCCUCUCCAUAGGUAAGUAUUGGUAGUAUCAGAUUUGUGUAUAUCAAUGGUUUUCUUUUUGAAUUUAUCCCCCAGGUUUUUCCUGCUGUGUAUUUCAAAAUAUUAAGUGUGUUGAUUCCUUUCUCAUAUUUUUCAGCUAUAUGCUCCUUAAACUGGAAGAAUUUGUCAAACGUAACUCCUAGGUAUUUGACUGAUUUUAUAGUAUGGACAUUUGUUCCUUUUAUCAGCAGAUCUGGGCAUAGUUUUUGGUUAAAGGAGAUUGCUUGGGUUUUGUUCAUAUUUAAUUUAAAUCCAAGAUUUGUAAGAGUCUCGAUUAGGACAUUUGUUGGAUUUUCUAUAGGUUUUUAAAGGAAAGUUGUAUUCUUUUUUGCUCUCUUUCUUGGGGCAUCUUUGGCUUUAAUCCACAAUACAGUGUCAUCUGCAAACUAUCCUAUGCUUAUCUUGGGAUAUUUAUCUUCUAUAACUCCUACUGAAUUUAUCAAUAUAUUAAAAAGUGUGGGAGAGAUUACUACCCCCUGGGGUGUUCCGUGUUCCUGACUUUUCAUUUCAGAUAAUACGCCUCCAACUUUAACCCGAAAUGUCCUUUCAUAAAGAAAGUCCUUAAUAUAAUUAUACAUUUUGCCAGUUAUCUCCAUUUUCAUAAGUUGUUCAAGGGUUCCUUGUUUCCAUAGUAGAUCGUAAGCCUUUUCUAGAUCCAAGAAAACUGCUGCUGCUACUUACCCAAAAGUUCUAUAUUUAUCCAGUUCUUGAAUUAAUUUCAAUUACUGAUCGUGUGUUUGCCUUUUUCUUCUGAAUCCCGACUGGUUGGCACAGAAUAAAUUCUUUUUUUUCAUUGAUCUGGAUGAGUCGAUUAUUUAUUAUUGUUUCCAAAACCUUUCCAAGAUGACUGGUGAGAGAGAUCGGUCUAUAGGAAGACGGUUCGCUUUUUAUCUUUAUUGGUAUUAUUGUGGCGUGCUUAAACUCCAGUGGAAUUUUGUCUUUAUUCCAGAUAUUGUUGAAGAAGUCUACUCUAUCACUAUUUUUGCGUUGUGUGGUAAUUGGUCAUACAUUUCAUAUGUUAGGGAAUUAUGACCUGGGGUGCUUUAUUUUUUCUUUCUCAAUACUUCAUUCAUUUCUUUAUAACUUAUAUCAACAUUUUCCUCUUUAUCGUCAUUUUCUUGUUUUUGAAAGAGAUGUUGAUUGAGUUUUGAAUGAUUUUGUUUCUUAAUUCUAAAAGAUGCAUCUAGGUUUUCAUCACUACUAACAAAUCGAUAAUGUUUUUCCAGCGUCUCAGCUAUGUCUGUGUUUGAAGUAAGUUCUUUUCCAUUAAGUGAUUUCUGAGGACAAGUGCAUUUGUGUUUUAUAUUUGUUCCAUCAAUAGUAUGUAUAGUACUCCACACUUGUGAAAUUUUUGAAUCAAUAUUAAUAGAUUUAAGGUAGUUUUUCCACACUUGUUCCCUGAAGUUUCUUAUGGUACUGGUAGCUAGAUUUCUAGCCUCUCUGUAUCUUUUAAAAAUGGGGACAUAGCUGAAAAUGGAUCGGUUUUUUUUACGCGAUACGUAGAUCAAAACUAUUUUGUGGACUUAUCUAAAAUGAAUAUUCGACAAAUUUUGACUUCCAAAUGUCGUGUACUAAUUUGAAACGCAAAACUUCAGGGUGGAGGAAAAUAUAUUUUUAAAACGUUGUAUAGUUGUUGUUGUUGUUUUUUUACCACCCUGCGCAUAUGUAUUGCUUUCAUUAAAUAAAAGGUGUAGCAAUUUGU
This 2737-nucleotide long non-coding RNA is filed under the name Aplysia californica (California sea hare). RNAcentral describes it as "uncharacterized LOC118477732". Lineage: Eukaryota; Metazoa; Mollusca; Gastropoda; Aplysiida; Aplysiidae. The record is from RNAcentral.